This 468-nucleotide ribosomal RNA is filed under the name uncultured bacterium. RNAcentral's name for it is "partial 16S ribosomal RNA". It matches the Rfam family "Bacterial small subunit ribosomal RNA", at positions 28 to 507 of the family's 1533-position model. The record is from RNAcentral.
GACGAACGCUGGCGGCGUGCUUAACACAUGCAAGUCGAACGGAAAGGCCCUGCUUUUGUGGGGUGCUCGAGUGGCGAACGGGUGAGUAACACGUGAGUAACCUGCCCUUGACUUUUGGAUAACUUCAGGAAACUUGGUCUAAUACCGGAUAUGAUCUCCUGCUGCAUGGUGGGGGUUGGAAAGUUUCGGCGGUUGGGGAUGUACUCGCGGCUUAUCAGCUUGUUUGUGGGGUAGUGGCUUACCAAGGCUUUGACGGGUAGCCGGCCUGAGAGGGUGACCGGCCACAUUGGGACUGAGAUACGGCCCAGACUGCUACGGGAGGCAGCAGUGGGGAAUAUUGCACAAUGGGCGGAAGCAUGAUGCAGCAAAGCGGCGUGCGGGAUGACGGCCUUCGGGUUGUAAACCGCUUUCGCCUGUGACGAAGCGUGAGUGACGGUAAUGGGUAAAGAAGCACCGGCUAACUACGUG